UACGGGGGGAGCAAGCGUUGUUCGGAUUUACUGGGCGUAAAGGGCGCGUAGGCGGUCGUGACAAGUCACUUGUGAAAUCUCCGGACUUAACUCGGAACGGUCAAGUGAUACUGUCGGACUAGAGUACAGAAGGGGCAACUGGAAUUCUCGGUGUAGCGGUGAAAUGCGUAGAGAUCCGGAGGAACACCAGAGGCGAAGGCGGCCUACUGGGCUGCACCUGACGCGUGAGCCGCGAAAGCCAGGGGAGCGAACGGG
This 255-nucleotide ribosomal RNA is filed under the name uncultured bacterium. RNAcentral describes it as "partial 16S ribosomal RNA". It matches the Rfam family "Bacterial small subunit ribosomal RNA", at positions 524 to 776 of the family's 1533-position model. The record is from RNAcentral.